Molecule: ribosomal RNA, 305 nt
Filed under: uncultured bacterium
Lineage: Bacteria
Description: bacterial SSU rRNA
Rfam family: Bacterial small subunit ribosomal RNA
Source: RNAcentral
GCCUACGGGAGGCAGCAGUGAGGAAUAUUGGUCAAUGGCCGAGAGGCUGAACCAGCCAAGUCGCGUGAGGGAAGACGGCCCUACGGGUUGUAAACCUCUUUUGUCGGGGAGCAAAGCGAACCACGUGUGGUUCAUUGAGAGUACCCGAAGAAAAAGCAUCGGCUAACUCCGUGCCAGCAGCCGCGGUAAUACGGAGGAUGCGAGCGUUAUCCGGAUUUAUUGGGUUUAAAGGGUGCGCAGGCGGAGGUGCAAGUCAGUGGUCAAAUUGCGGGGCUCAACCUCGUACUGCCGUUGAAACUGCAUCC